This 77-nucleotide transfer RNA is filed under the name Marinobacterium rhizophilum. RNAcentral describes it as "tRNA-Pro". It matches the Rfam family "tRNA". From Rfam's summary of the family: Transfer RNA (tRNA) molecules are approximately 80 nucleotides in length. Their secondary structure includes four short double-helical elements and three loops (D, anti-codon, and T loops). Further hydrogen bonds mediate the characteristic L-shaped molecular structure. tRNAs have two regions of fundamental functional importance: the anti-codon, which is responsible for specific mRNA codon recognition, and the 3' end, to which the tRNAs corresponding amino acid is attached (by aminoacyl-tRNA synthetases). tRNAs cope with the degeneracy of the genetic code in two manners: having more than one tRNA (with a specific anti-codon) for a particular amino acid; and 'wobble' base-pairing, i.e. permitting non-standard base-pairing at the 3rd anti-codon position. RNAcentral also lists the same sequence under 12 other names. The record is from RNAcentral. Lineage: Bacteria; Pseudomonadati; Pseudomonadota; Gammaproteobacteria; Oceanospirillales; Oceanospirillaceae.
CGGAGUGUAGCGCAGCUUGGUAGCGCAUCUGGUUUGGGACCAGAGGGUCGUAGGUUCGAAUCCUAUCACUCCGACCA